CCUACGGGAGGCAGCAGUGAGGAAUAUUGGUCAAUGGGCGAGAGCCUGAACCAGCCAAGUCGCGUGAAGGAAGAAUGUCCUAUGGAUUGUAAACUUCUUUUGUAGGGGGAUAAAAAAGAGUACGAGUACUCUAUUGUAGGUACCCUACGAAUAAGGAUCGGCUAACUCCGUGCCAGCAGCCGCGGUAAU
Molecule: ribosomal RNA, 189 nt
Filed under: uncultured bacterium
Lineage: Bacteria
Description: partial 16S ribosomal RNA
Rfam family: Bacterial small subunit ribosomal RNA
Source: RNAcentral